RNAcentral lists this transfer RNA (72 nucleotides) under Camelus bactrianus (Bactrian camel). It matches the Rfam family "tRNA". From Rfam's summary of the family: Transfer RNA (tRNA) molecules are approximately 80 nucleotides in length. The record is from Rfam by way of RNAcentral. RNAcentral also lists the same sequence under 2 other names. Lineage: Eukaryota; Metazoa; Chordata; Mammalia; Artiodactyla; Camelidae.
GUAGAUAUACCUCAGUAGUAGAGUUCGUGCUUAGCAUGCACGGGGUCUUGGGUUCAAUCUCCAGUACCUCCA